This 371-nucleotide ribosomal RNA is filed under the name uncultured bacterium. RNAcentral describes it as "partial 16S ribosomal RNA". It matches the Rfam family "Bacterial small subunit ribosomal RNA", at positions 338 to 706 of the family's 1533-position model. The record is from RNAcentral.
CCUACGGGAGGCAGCAGUGAGGAAUAUUGGUCAAUGGGCUUACGCCUGAACCAGCCAAGUCGCGUGAGGGAAGACUGCCCUAUGGGUUGUAAACCUCUUUUGUCAGGGAGCAACGCCGGCUCCGUGUAGCCGGACUGAGAGUACCUGAAGAAAAAGCAUCGGCUAACUCCGUGCCAGCAGACGCGGUAAUACGGGGGAUGCGAGCGUUAUCCGGAUUUAUUGGGUUUAAAGGGUGCGUAGGCGGAGUGCCAAGUCAGCGGUAAAAUCGCGGGGCUCAACCUCGCUCCGCCGUUGAAACUGGCGGUGUUGAGUGGGCGAGAAGUAUGCGGAAUGCGGGGUGGAGAGGUGAAAUGCAGAGAUACCACGCAGAA